Molecule: long non-coding RNA, 229 nt
Filed under: Elaeis guineensis (African oil palm)
Lineage: Eukaryota; Viridiplantae; Streptophyta; Magnoliopsida; Arecales; Arecaceae
Description: long non-coding RNA (EGUI_LNC022877)
Source: RNAcentral
CGAUGGGAAUAGUUAUAGCCAAGAACCAUCUAGUGCCAACAUAGAGAAGUCAACCAUAGUAGUCUUAAGCGGGGAACCCAACAAGAACUUGACUGCUUCUAAGAGAGCCAUUAAAAUUAAUCUUCAAAAUCUCAAAGGAGGGGACCACUAAACCUAUGAGGUAGCACAUAUUUUAGGAUGAUAAUUCCAAGAUCAACAAUGAUGUAGAUGGAGGUGACAAAAUCACCCC